This 1359-nucleotide ribosomal RNA is filed under the name uncultured bacterium. RNAcentral describes it as "bacterial SSU rRNA". It matches the Rfam family "Bacterial small subunit ribosomal RNA", at positions 65 to 1420 of the family's 1533-position model. The record is from RNAcentral.
AACGGCAGCGGGUCGUAGCAAUACGAUGCCGGCGAGUGGCGCACGGGUGCGUAACACGUAUGCAACCUACCUCAAACAGGGACAUAACAUCGAGAAAUCGGUGCUAAUAUUCCAUAACAUUAUUGAUUGGCAUCAGUUGAUAAUUAAAGCUACGGUGGUUUGAGAUGGGCAUGCGUCCCAUUAGUUAGUUGGCGGGGUAACGGCCCACCAAGACGUCGAUGGGUAGGGGCUCUGAGAGGAUAACCCCCCACACUGGUACUGAGACACGGACCAGACUCCUACGGGAGGCAGCAGUAAGGAAUAUUGGUCAAUGGGCGGAAGCCUGAACCAGCCAUGCCGCGUGCAGGAAGACGGCCUUAUGGGUUGUAAACUGCUUUUAUACGGGAGUAAACUAACCUACGUGUAGGUUAUUGCAAGUACCGUAUGAAUAAGCAUCGGCUAACUCCGUGCCAGCAGCCGCGGUAAUACGGAGGAUGCAAGCGUUAUCCGGAUUCAUUGGGUUUAAAGGGUGCGUAGGCUGGCGCUAUAAGUCAGGGGUGAAAAGCAUAGGCUCAACUUAUGCACUGCCUUUGAUACUGUAGGCCUAGAGUGCAAAUGAGGUUGGCGGAAUGUGUAGUGUAGCGGUGAAAUGCAUAGAUAUUACACAGAACACCGAUAGCGAAGGCAGCUAACCAAGAUGCAACAGACGCUGAGGCACGAAAGCGUGGGGAUCAAACAGGAUUAGAUACCCUGGUAGUCCACGCUGUAAACGAUGAUUACUCGCUGUUGGCGAUACACAGUCAGCGGCCAAGCGAAAGCGUUAAGUAAUCCACCUGGGGAGUACGAUCGCAAGAUUGAAACUCAAAGGAAUUGACGGGGGCCCGCACAAGCGGAGGAGCAUGUGGUUUAAUUCGAUGAUACGCGAGGAACCUUACCUGGGCUUGAACGUGUGAUGCAAUACCGGGAAACUGGUAGUCCCUUCGGGGCGUCAUGCGAGGUGCUGCAUGGUUGUCGUCAGCUCGUGCCGUGAGGUGUUAGGUUAAGUCCUGUAACGAGCGCAACCCCUAUACUUAGUUACCAGCACGUAGCGGUGGGGACUCUAAGUAAACUGCCUGCGCAAGCAGAGAGGAAGGUGGGGAUGACGUCAAAUCAGCACGGCCCUUACGUCCAGGGCCACACACGUGCUACAAUGGCCGAUACAGAGGGCAGCUACCUGGUGACAGGAUGCGAAUCUCAAAAGUCGGUCUCAGUUCGGAUCGGAGUCUGCAACUCGACUCCGUGAAGUUGGAUUCGCUAGUAAUCGCGCAUCAGCCAUGGCGCGGUGAAUACGUUCCCGGGCCUUGUACACACCGCCCGUCAAGCCAUGGGAGUUGGGGGUAC